GCCCAGAUCACCAGUUAAGGUCCCCAAAUCUAUGCUAAGUGGAAAAGGAUGUGGAGUUGCGUAGACAACUAGGACGUUGGCUUAGAAGCAGCCAUCAUUCAAAGAGUGCGUAAUAGCUCACUAGUCGAGUGGCGCUGCGCCGAAAAUUUACCGGGGCUAAGCAUAGUACCGAAACUGUGGAUGUGCGUAAGCACGUGGUAGGAGAGCGUUCUAAUUGCGGCGAAGCCUAAUCGAGAGGAUAGGUGGAGCGAUUAGAAGUGAGAAUGCCGGUAUGAGUAGCGAAAGAUAGGUGAGAAUCCUAUCCGCCGAAAGACUAAGGUUUCCUGGGGCAGGCUCGUCCGCCCAGGGUAAGUCGGGACCUAAGGUAAGGCCGG
RNAcentral lists this ribosomal RNA (374 nucleotides) under Vibrio cholerae. RNAcentral's name for it is "partial 23S ribosomal RNA". It matches the Rfam family "Bacterial large subunit ribosomal RNA", at positions 1025 to 1405 of the family's 2925-position model. The record is from RNAcentral. Lineage: Bacteria; Pseudomonadati; Pseudomonadota; Gammaproteobacteria; Vibrionales; Vibrionaceae.